This 253-nucleotide ribosomal RNA is filed under the name uncultured bacterium. RNAcentral's name for it is "partial 16S ribosomal RNA". It matches the Rfam family "Bacterial small subunit ribosomal RNA", at positions 524 to 776 of the family's 1533-position model. The record is from RNAcentral.
UACGGGGGGGGUAAGCGUUGUUCGGAAUUACUGGGCGUAAAGCGCACGUAGGCGGCUUUGUAAGUUAGAGGUGAAAGCCCGGGGCUCAACCCCGGAAUUGCCUUUAAGACUGCAUCGCUUGAAUCCGGGAGAGGUGAGUGGAAUUCCGAGUGUAGAGGUGAAAUUCGUAGAUAUUCGGAAGAACACCAGUGGCGAAGGCGGCUCACUGGACCGGUAUUGACGCUGAGGUGCGAAAGCGUGGGGAGCAAACAGG